AUGGGCUCACGACUUGACAAAUCAAGAGUAACCAACCUUGGCAGGCUUGAAAUCUCAGUAGGAAUCUACCCUGUGAAGCCACAAUGAGAAAGAUUCAGGUAAGUCAAAUUUGUGAGGUUGGCCAACCUGGAUGGCAUAGGGAAUCCGUAGAAGAGAGUGAAACCCAAAUUUAGACUCUGCAGAUAUUGAAGACUGAAAAGGCCAGAUGCGUUCUCAAGACUGCCGAUGAGUAUUGGUUCCGCGCUCAAGUCGAGGCCAAUAACAUGACCAGCCUCAUCGCAAUCUACUCCGUUCCAAUUACAACAAUCGGUGCUUUCACUCCACUGACUCAUUUUUACAGGUGGAGUAGAAUCAACGUCAAAUAUGAAGCUGUUCUUCAUCUGGAUUAACAGCUCUGAAUUCAAAGAAUAUUUGAUGAGAUCCCCCCAGUUAAAUCAUUAGACGAAAGGUUUAGGUAGUUGAGAUUUCUUGACAUGUAAAGCCGAAGAGUUGGGAUGGGAUCUGAGAAAUGGUUAGAUGAGAAGUCCAAGUGAAAUAAUUGGGUGAGAUUAGCCAUUGAAGUGGGAAUUGGCCUAGUGAAAUUGCAACUGCUAACAUCUACACUUGCCAAAUUUUCAAGGUUCCCAAUGGAAUCUGGUAGUUUGCCCGAGAAGCUCGUGUUCUUCAGGUUCAGGUUCCGAAGAGAAGAAUUCUUAGGAAAGUGAGGUAGAGAACCCUGAAGCAAUGAGUUAUAUGACAAGUCAAGAGUCUCAAGUGUAGGUACCUGCAAUACCUUUUCUGGAAACUUCCCGUGCAAAUCACACUGGCUGAGAUCCAAGGUGGUCAAAUUUAACAAAUUGGCCACAAACUCUGGCACUUGACAUGACACAGCAUGAUUGUCACGCAAACGAAUAACUGAGAGUGACAGUAAAUUUGCCAGGUGAUGAUUUAUAGGAUCUGAAAGAAGACAGUUAGACAAGUUUAAAACUUGUAGAUUAGGCAGAAAAGACAUAGCUUUGCACCAUUCAGUCCUGCGGCCUGACAAAUCUACAUUAUCAAGGUACAGUUCUCUGAGCUCUGUUAAGUUCUGAAAAAAGUUGAAAUUUGGGAUCUCAAGUCUCCAGGAAAAUCCGCUUAUGGGCUCACGACUUGACAAAUCAAGAGUAACCAACCUUGGCAGGCUUGAAAUCUCAGUAGGAAUCUACCCUGUGAAGCCACAAUGAGAAAGAUUCAGGUAAGUCAAAUUUGUGAGGUUGGCCAACCUGGAUGGCAUAGGGAAUCCGUAGAAGAGAGUGAAACCCAAAUUUAGACUCUGCAGAUAUUGAAGACUGAAAAGGCCAGAUGCGUUCUCAAGACUGCCGAUGAGUAUUGGUUCCGCGCUCAAGUCGAGACCAAUAACAUGACCAGCCUCAUCGCAAUCUACUCCGUUCCAAUCACAACAAUCGGUGCUUUCACUCCACUGACUCAUUUUUGCAGGUGGAGUAGAAUCAACGUCAAAUAUGAAGCUGUUCUUCAUCUGGAUUAACAGCAAUUUUUGAUCGCUCUGACACUGGCCAGACACCAAAACCAUAUGCAUCCCAAAAUAAUUGACUAAAAAGGGUGUCAAGAAAAGCCAUGAUAAGAGUAAAAUUGAUCUCAUGAUUGGGUUUAAUAGUAGUUGAAAUGAAACUCAUAGAAGGGAUGAAACUUUCAAGUUGCAAUGUAUAUGUAAUAUAGACUGAUAUAAUAUAGCAGAGGUGGCCCAAGUUAACGAAUUACUAAUUAGAAAGCAGCCGAGGAGGACUUCAGGUCAGCAUGAUGGAAUUGUAAGCACCAUGCGCUGAUUAUUCACGCGGUUUUGACAGAAAAGAAGAGUCGUAACAUGUUGGCAGACAUGAAUAGGUUAAGAUUGAAAAAUUGAAGAGUAGGAGUCUUAUAUUUCCCUGGUAGAAAGCAAGUGAAAAUUAUUAGAUCACAUGAGUUACUACAACAACCUGACUUAACGGUAUCUAUUAACUUACUGAAUCUUCUGC
This 1991-nucleotide long non-coding RNA is filed under the name Citrus sinensis (sweet orange). RNAcentral's name for it is "long non-coding RNA (CSIN_LNC000203)". Lineage: Eukaryota; Viridiplantae; Streptophyta; Magnoliopsida; Sapindales; Rutaceae. The record is from RNAcentral.